UACGAAGGGGGCUAGCGUUGUUCGGAAUCACUGGGCGUAAAGAGCUCGUAGGUGGUUCGGUAAGUCGGAUGUGAAAUCUCCAGGCUCAACCUGGAGGGGUCAUUCGAUACUGCCGUGACUAGAGUUCGGUAGGGGAGUGUGGAAUUCCUGGUGGAGCGGUGAAAUGCGCAGAUAUCAGGAGGAACACCCGUAGCGAAGGCGGCACUCUGGGCCGAUACUGACACUGAGGAGCGAAAGCGUGGGGAGCGAACAGG
RNAcentral lists this ribosomal RNA (254 nucleotides) under uncultured bacterium. RNAcentral's name for it is "partial 16S ribosomal RNA". It matches the Rfam family "Bacterial small subunit ribosomal RNA", at positions 524 to 776 of the family's 1533-position model. The record is from RNAcentral.